GAUGAACGCUGGCGGCGUGCCUAAUACAUGCAAGUCGAGCGAACGGACGAGAAGCUUGCUCCUCUGAUGUUAGCGGCGGACGGGUGAGUAACACGUGGAUAACCUACCUAUAAGACUGGGAUAACUUCGGGAAACCGUAGCUAAUACCGGAUAAUAUUUUGAACCGCAUGGUUCAAAAGUUAAAGACGGUUUUGCUGUCACUUAUAGAUGGAUCCGCGCUGCAUUAGCUAGUUGGUAAGGUAACGGCUUACCAAGGCAACGAUGCAUAGCCGACCUGAGAGGGUGAUCGGCCACACUGGAACUGAGACACGGUCCAGACUCCUACGGGAGGCAGCAGUAGGGAAUCUUCCGCAAUGGGCGAAAGCCUGACGGAGCAACGCCGCGUGAGUGAUGAAGGUCUUCGGAUCGUAAAACUCUGUUAUUAGGGAAGAACAUAUGUGUAAGUAACUGUGCACGUCUUGACGGUACCUAAUCAGAAAGCCACGGCUAACUACGUG
Molecule: ribosomal RNA, 497 nt
Filed under: uncultured bacterium
Lineage: Bacteria
Description: partial 16S ribosomal RNA
Rfam family: Bacterial small subunit ribosomal RNA
Source: RNAcentral